GACGAACGCUGGCGGCGUGCUUAACACAUGCAAGUCGAGCGGAAAGGCCCUGCUUUUGUGGGGUGCUCGAGUGGCGAACGGGUGAGUAACACGUGAGUAACCUGCCCUUGACUUUGGGAUAACUUCAGGAAACUGGGGCUAAUACCGGAUAGGAGCUCCUGCUGCAUGGUGGGGGUUGGAAAGUUUCGGCGGUUGGGGAUGGACUCGCGGCUUAUCAGCUUGUUGGUGGGGUAGUGGCUUACCAAGGCUUUGACGGGUAGCCGGCCUGAGAGGGUGACCGGCCACAUUGGGACUGAGAUACGGCCCAGACUCCUACGGGAGGCAGCAGUGGGGAAUAUUGCACAAUGGGCGGAAGCCUGAUGCAGCAACGCCGCGUGCGGGAUGACGGCCUUCGGGUUGUAAACCGCUUUCGCCUGUGACGAAGCGUGAGUGACGGCAAUGGGUAAAGAAGCACCGGCUAACUACGUG
Molecule: ribosomal RNA, 468 nt
Filed under: uncultured bacterium
Lineage: Bacteria
Description: partial 16S ribosomal RNA
Rfam family: Bacterial small subunit ribosomal RNA
Source: RNAcentral